AAUAGAUACCCGGGUAGUCCAUGCCGUAAACGAUGUCUACUAGCCGUUGGGGCCUUUGAGGCUUUAGUGGCGCAGCUAACGCGAUAAGUAGACCGCCUGGGGAGUACGGUCGCAAGACUAAAACUCGAAUGAAUUGACGGGGGCCCGCACAAGCGGUGGAGCAUGUGGUUUAAUUCGAUGCAACGCGAAGAACCUUACCUGGUCUUGACAUACAGAGAACUUUCCAGAGAUGGAUUGGUGCCUUCGGGAACUCUGAUACAGGUGCUGCAUGGCUGUCGUCAGCUCGUGUCGUGAGAUGUUGGGUUAAGUCCCGCAACGAGCGCAACCCUUUUCCUUACUUGCCAUCGGGUCAUGCCGGGAACUUUAAGGAUACUGCCAGUGACAAACUGGAGGAAGGCGGGGGCGACGUCAAGUCAUCAUGGCCCUUACGACCAGGGCUACACACGUGCUACAAUGGUCGGUACAAAGGGUUGCUACCUAGCGAUAGGAUGCUAAUCUCAAAAAGCCGAUCGUAGUCCGGAUUGGAGU
RNAcentral lists this ribosomal RNA (528 nucleotides) under uncultured bacterium. RNAcentral's name for it is "bacterial SSU rRNA". It matches the Rfam family "Bacterial small subunit ribosomal RNA", at positions 777 to 1304 of the family's 1533-position model. The record is from RNAcentral.